CCGAGGCUGGGGGACGUGGGGAGGGAGAGAUGGUGCUCAGAGGGUACAAAGCCUCGGACAGGAGGGCAAGUCUGUCUCUAGAUCAAUAGCACGGCAUGCUGAGUACAGCUAAUUAUUGAGUAUUUUACAUUUAAAUAUCGCCAAGAGUAAAUUUCUAAUAUUCAUAAAUCAUAGCACCAGUUUAUGUCCCAUAAAGUAUGCAACUAUAAUUUAUCAAUAUAACAUGAUAAAUACAUAAUGAAUACAUUUUAAAAAACACAAGGACUGAGCACUGCUUCUUGGUAGUUUGUAAUUGAGUUAAGAGUACAUACAAAUAAUAAAAUGUGACCAAACAAUGAGAUAAAAUAAAAGUUUGUGUGUUAAUCACACAGGGACAUAUGCCUAUCAGGAGCUUACAAUCACAGGGUCCUAUCUUAUUUUGAGGCAUAAUUUAUAUAAAAUAAAAUGCACCAAUUUUUAAAAAAGUUAUGAUUUUGCAUUUUGCUAGGAACACGAACACAGUUCUUUAUUAGCCACUGAGACACAUGAGUCACUUUCUAUAUUAAGAAAAAAUUCAUUGUGGUGCAAAAUAAGACUCUCUUUUUUCAUUAAGGUACAUUCAUAGUUUUGAUAUCUAACUUAUAUAACUCAUUGUAAUUGCUGAAUCGUGUACUGGCACUUGCACAUGAAAUUAAUGCUUUCAAAUGAUCUACUUUGGAACUGUGUGCCAUAACAAAAGACUCAAAAAUGCCACCUAAUUGCCCCAGCUCAGCCAACCAUUAAUAUCUGAUGCCCCUGUAGAGGAUCCAUGUGAAAAAUUCCUUUUAAAAUUUAGGAUAUUCCUCUCCAAAACUGGCCUCUGUUGAAGAAAAAAUACUCCUCUCUCACACACAGAUAACUGUGUAACUGACCACGUCUCUUGAUGGCUUGACUGACAGCAAACUCAGCAUGGACUCUUAUAACUAAGUAAUUAACUGUGGUCCAUAUAUAUCUUCUUCCUUUUUAAUAAAGUUUGACAUGUAUUUUAACAUUUCAACAUACUAUAAUUUCAUAACAGAUCCCUU
RNAcentral lists this long non-coding RNA (1043 nucleotides) under Pan troglodytes (chimpanzee). Its description in RNAcentral is "long non-coding RNA NONPTRT016906". Lineage: Eukaryota; Metazoa; Chordata; Mammalia; Primates; Hominidae. The record is from RNAcentral.